GACGAACGCUGGCGGCGUGCUUAACACAUGCAAGUCGAACGGAAAGGCCCGCUUGCGGGUACUCGAGUGGCGAACGGGUGAGUAACACGUGGGCAACCUGCCCUCAGCUUCGGGAUAACACUUGGAAACAGGUGCUAAUACCGGAUAAUAACCUUUCAUCGCAUGGUGGUUGGUUCAAAGUUUUUCGGCUGAGGAUGGGCCCGCGGCCUAUCAGCUUGUUGGUGGGGUAAUGGCCUACCAAGGCGACGACGGGUAGCCGGCCUGAGAGGGUGACCGGCCACACGGGGACUGAGACACGGCCCGGUCUCCUACGGGAGGCAGCAGUGGGGAAUAUUGCGCAAUGGGCGGAAGCCUGACGCAGCGACGCCGCGUGAGGGAUGACGGCCUUCGGGUUGUAAACCUCUUUCAGCUCUGACGAAGCGCAAGCGACGGUAGGAGCAGAAGAAGCACCGGCCAACUACGUGCCAGCAGCCGCCGUAA
RNAcentral lists this ribosomal RNA (480 nucleotides) under uncultured bacterium. Its description in RNAcentral is "partial 16S ribosomal RNA". It matches the Rfam family "Bacterial small subunit ribosomal RNA", at positions 28 to 523 of the family's 1533-position model. The record is from RNAcentral.